CGGGUGGUAAUGCCGGAUGCUCCAGUUGAUCGCAUGGUCUUCUGGGAAAGCUUUCGCGGUAUGGGAUGGGGUCGCGUCCUAUCAGCUUGACGGCGGGGUAACGGCCCACCGUGGCUUCGACGGGUAGCCGGCCUGAGAGGGCGACCGGCCACAUUGGGACUGAGAUACGGCCCAGACUCCUACGGGAGGCAGCAGUGGGGAAUAUUGCACAAUGGGCGCAAGCCUGAUGCAGCGACGCCGCGUGAGGGAUGGAGGCCUUCGGGUUGUAAACCUCUUUUAUCGGGGAGCAAGCGUGAGUGAGUUUACCCGUUGAAUAAGCACCGGCUAACUACGUGCCAGCAGCCGCGGUAAUACGUAGGGUGCAAGCGUUAUCCGGAAUUAUUGGGCGUAAAGGGCUCGUAGGCGGUUCGUCGCGUCCGGUGUGAAAGUCCAUCGCUUAACGGUGGAUCCGCGCCGGGUACGGGCGGGCUUGAGUGCGGUAGGGGAGACUGGAAUUCCCGGUGUAACGGUGGAAUGUGUAGAUA
RNAcentral lists this ribosomal RNA (524 nucleotides) under Bifidobacterium longum subsp. infantis. Its description in RNAcentral is "bacterial SSU rRNA". It matches the Rfam family "Bacterial small subunit ribosomal RNA", at positions 157 to 696 of the family's 1533-position model. Lineage: Bacteria; Bacillati; Actinomycetota; Actinomycetes; Bifidobacteriales; Bifidobacteriaceae. The record is from RNAcentral.